Molecule: unclassified non-coding RNA, 224 nt
Filed under: uncultured fungus
Lineage: Eukaryota; Fungi
Description: partial contains 5.8S ribosomal RNA, internal transcribed spacer 2, and large subunit ribosomal RNA
Source: RNAcentral
AACGCACAUUGCACCUCUUGGUAUUCCUUGAGGUAUAUUUGUUCGAGCGCCGUUUAAAUCUUAAAGCUUUGCUUUGUGAUGAGAUUUGUUGUUUUACAACAAUCUUCAAAUAUAUUUUCCCAAAUUACUUGAUGAAACAGCGAAAGUGUUUUUUUCAAUUCUAAAUAAGGGUAAAUUAACGAUCACAUGGCCUCGAAUCAAAUAAGGCUACCCGCUGAACUUAA